UAGCUUAGUUGGUAGAGCAUGGUGUUUGCAAUGCCAGGGUUGUGGGUUCGAUUCCCAC
Molecule: transfer RNA, 58 nt
Filed under: Salmo salar (Atlantic salmon)
Lineage: Eukaryota; Metazoa; Chordata; Actinopteri; Salmoniformes; Salmonidae
Rfam family: tRNA
About the family: Transfer RNA (tRNA) molecules are approximately 80 nucleotides in length. Their secondary structure includes four short double-helical elements and three loops (D, anti-codon, and T loops). Further hydrogen bonds mediate the characteristic L-shaped molecular structure. tRNAs have two regions of fundamental functional importance: the anti-codon, which is responsible for specific mRNA codon recognition, and the 3' end, to which the tRNAs corresponding amino acid is attached (by aminoacyl-tRNA synthetases). tRNAs cope with the degeneracy of the genetic code in two manners: having more than one tRNA (with a specific anti-codon) for a particular amino acid; and 'wobble' base-pairing, i.e. permitting non-standard base-pairing at the 3rd anti-codon position.
Source: Rfam by way of RNAcentral